Molecule: ribosomal RNA, 464 nt
Filed under: uncultured bacterium
Lineage: Bacteria
Description: bacterial SSU rRNA
Rfam family: Bacterial small subunit ribosomal RNA
Source: RNAcentral
ACUCCUACGGGAGGCAGCAGUGGGGAAUAUUGCACAAUGGGCGAAAGCCUGAUGCAGCGACGCCGCGUGAGGGACGACGGCCUUCGGGUUGUAAACCUCUUUCAGUAGGGAACAAGGCAUCAUUUUUGUGGUGUUGAGGGUACUUGCAGAAGAAGCACCGGCUAACUACGUGCCAGCAGCCGCGGUAAUACGUAGGGUGCAAGCGUUAUCCGGAAUUAUUGGGCGUAAAGAGCUCGUAGGCGGUUUGUCGCGUCUGUCGUGAAAGUCCGGGGCUCAACUCCGGAUCUGCGGUGGGUACGGGCAGACUAGAGUGAUGUAGGGGAGACUGGAAUUCCUGGUGUAGCGGUGGAAUGCGCAGAUAUCAGGAGGAACACCGAUGGCGAAGGCAGGUCUCUGGGCAUUAACUGACGCUGAGGAGCGAAAGCAUGGGGAGCGAACAGGAUUAGAUACCCUGGUAGGCGUAG